This 478-nucleotide ribosomal RNA is filed under the name uncultured bacterium. RNAcentral describes it as "bacterial SSU rRNA". It matches the Rfam family "Bacterial small subunit ribosomal RNA", at positions 45 to 522 of the family's 1533-position model. The record is from RNAcentral.
UGGAUUAGGCAUGCAAGUCGAGGGAGAACCCGCAAGGGGGACACCGGCGAACGGGGUAGGGUCAUCUCGGUGACGUACCCCCAGGGCGAGGAUAGCCACGGGAAACUGUGGGUAAUACUCGAUAAUCUUCUCGAUUAUAAUCGUUUGAGAAGCAAUGGGUGUGAUUCCACCUGGGGAGCGGCUUACGCAGUAUCAGCUAGUUGGCGAGGUAACGGCUCACCAAGGCUUUGGCGCUUAGGGGGUGUGAGAGCAUGGCCCCCACCACUGGCACUGAGACACUGGCCAGACACCUACGGGUGGCUGCAGUCGAGAAUCUUCGGCAAUGGACGAAAGUCUGACCGAGCGACGCCGCGUGCGGGAUGAAGGUCUUCGGAUUGUAAACCGCUGUCAGAGGGGAUGAAGUAUACGAGAGCUAUCUCUUGUAUUUGACAGAGCCUCAGAGGAAGCACGGGCUAAGUACGUGCCAGCAGCCGCGGUA